UUUGCUUCCUUUUAUGAAGAGAAGAAGAAGAAGAAGAAGAAGAAGAAGAAGCUGAAGCUUGAGAGCUUGCUUCUUUGCUUCUUCUCAGAGAGACAGCGAAAGAGAGAGAGAGAGAGAGAGACAGCCAUGGAUGCCUACGAAGCCACGAGGGUGGUGCUCUCCAGGAUCCAAGCUUUGGAUCCAGAGAACGCCGCCAAGAUCAUGGGUUUCAUCUUGAUUCAAGAUUAUGGCGAGAAGGAGAUGAUCAGGCUUGCUUUUGGCCCUGAAUCUCUCCUUCAAUCCAUCGUCCUUAAAGCUCGUAUUCAUCUCGGGAUUAUCCCUCCUUCUUCUUCUUCUUCGCAGGUUCUUCUUUCUCGUCAGAACUCAUCUUCUACUCUUCUAUCUCCUCCGCCGCCGUUGACAGUGAGUUCGCCGUCGUGGGUACCGCCGGCGAGCCCGUUCUCCAAGGUCAACACUUGUUCUGAUGAGCUUCAGAGCCCGGACGGUUGUGCAGGUGGAGAUCUUAUAGAUGAGGUCUCCUUUCUCAACGGUGAGCUCGGCUGGAACCAUCACCGGAGGAGCUUUUCAGUCGCCGACCUCGCCGUCGACGCCGCCGGUGGGUUUGGAUGGAGACCAUGCUUGUACUUCGCUAGAGGUUAUUGUAAAAACGGUACCAGCUGUAGAUUCCUUCAUGGAAUCCCAGACGACGCCGGAGCUAUGACGAAGUUGGAAUCUCCGGUGAAGAAUCAGAGAGCUUCUCAGCUCAUGGCUUCAGCUUUCCCUUACUCUCCGACGAGCAGCUCACCGAAAUCCAUGAGCUUUUUGUUUCAGCCCCAAAGUGAAAGCCCAAGGGUUUCGGCGAUGAGGAUUGAGUCCUUGGUCAACCCUGGAUCACGACAAAUCUAUUUAACUUUUCCGGCGGACAGCACGUUCAGAGAAGAAGAUGUUUCAAACUAUUUCAGUAUAUAUGGACCAGUGCAAGAUGUAAGGAUACCCUACCAACAAAAGAGGAUGUUUGGGUUUGUGACCUUUGUUUAUCCUGAGACAGUGAAGCUUAUCUUGGCCAAAGGAAAUCCUCACUUUGUUUGUGAUGCUAGAGUUCUUGUUAAGCCUUACAAAGAGAAAGGCAAAGUCCCAGAUAAGUUCAGGAAAGACUCUAGAGAACCAUAUGAUUUACAGCACCUUGUGAGUCCAGGAAGUGGUAGGAUACUGUACAGUAGUGGUAGCAGUAAUAGUACACAAGAAGCACUUAUGAGAAGAAAACUAGAAGAGCAGCAACAAGCUAUUGAGCUUCAGCAAGCUAUUGAACUUCAAGGCAGGCGUUUUAUGGGUUUGCAAUUGCUUGACCUCAAAUCCAGAAGCUUUUCAUCUCAUUCCAAUCCUAUCAACCAACAACAACUUCCACAACUUGAAGAGAAGCAAGAAUCUAGUGGUGAAGUUGGCAUCAAUGAAUACUGUGAUUUCCAAGAAAGAAGUGAUGAGCAUAACCUUCCUGAUAACCCUUUUGCAUCUCCAACCAAAGACACACAUCUCAUGAACAUAGACACCAGCAACCAUCUCUUAACAACUUCUUUCAACUCUUGCUUCUUUCCAGUUCCAAGGGUAUCUUCUGGCCAUGGAGCAGUGGGAAUGUGAACAGAAAAGAAGAGGAGGAGAAGGAGAUGAAGAAGAAGAAGACUUAGUAAGAGAUAAUACAACAAGCACAACAACAAAGAAGAGGAAAAACAAUACACUAUGAGUCUUUUGCUUUACAUUAUAUAAAUCUUAGUAUAGACACCAAACUGAAACACAACCAGAAUGACAAAGUGAAGGAAAAGGGAAGGAAGAAAAAGCAGGAGCUAAGGGAUUAAUUUUCUCUAAUCCAAGUGUAGUAUGUCAACAAGAAAAAGAAAAAAAAAUAUAAAAGAAAGUGGAAUAUAUACAUAUAUAUAUAUAUAUUUCUCUACCA
This is an RNA transcript of Dioscorea cayenensis subsp. rotundata (Guinea yam), 1927 nucleotides long. It is a transcript of the gene named zinc finger CCCH domain-containing protein 53-like, with no coding region annotated. NCBI's taxonomy places the organism in Eukaryota, Viridiplantae, Streptophyta, Magnoliopsida, Dioscoreales, Dioscoreaceae. The transcript is spliced from 8 exons. The record is from RefSeq and is a predicted model, not a curated record.